AGAGUUUGAUCAUGGCUCAGAUUGAACGCUGGCGGCAGGCCUAACACAUGCAAGUCGAGCGGUAACAGGGGAAGCUUGCUUCUCGCUGACGAGUGGCGGACGGGUGAGUAAUGUCUGGGAAACUCCCUGAUGGAGGGGGAUAACUACUGGAAACGGUAGCUAAUACCGCAUAAUCUCUCAGGAGCAAAGCAGGGGAACUUCGGUCCUUGCGCCAUCAGAUGUGCCCAGAUGGGAUUAGCUAGUAGGUGGGGUAACGGCUCACCUAGGCGACGAUCCCUAGCUGGUCUGAGAGGAUGACCAGCCACACUGGAACUGAGACACGGUCCAGACUCCUACGGGAGGCAGCAGUGGGGAAUAUUGCACAAUGGGCGCAAGCCUGAUGCAGCCAUGCCGCGUGUAUGAAGAAGGCCUUCGGGUUGUAAAGUACUUUCAGCGGGGAGGAAGGCGAUAAGGUUAAUAACCUUGUCGAUUGACGUUACCCGCAGAAGAAGCACCGGCUAACUCCGUGCCAGCCGCCGCGGUAAUAC
This 527-nucleotide ribosomal RNA is filed under the name uncultured bacterium. RNAcentral's name for it is "bacterial SSU rRNA". It matches the Rfam family "Bacterial small subunit ribosomal RNA", at positions 8 to 526 of the family's 1533-position model. The record is from RNAcentral.